UGGCCAAUGUGACCAGGCCACUGCGCAAUCUUGUGUUCUGGGAACCAGGUGUUGAGCGUGUUGUAACAUCAGAAAGAGGCUG
Cavia aperea (Brazilian guinea pig) is the source of this 82-nucleotide non-coding RNA. The record is from Ensembl. Lineage: Eukaryota; Metazoa; Chordata; Mammalia; Rodentia; Caviidae.